RNAcentral lists this transfer RNA (67 nucleotides) under Sinomantis denticulata. RNAcentral describes it as "tRNA-Leu". Lineage: Eukaryota; Metazoa; Arthropoda; Insecta; Mantodea; Nanomantidae. The record is from RNAcentral.
ACUAUUUUGGCAGAAAAAGUGUAAUAGAUUUAGAAUCUAUAAAUAUGAUUAAUUAUCAUAAGUAGUA